Molecule: long non-coding RNA, 3077 nt
Filed under: Salmo salar (Atlantic salmon)
Lineage: Eukaryota; Metazoa; Chordata; Actinopteri; Salmoniformes; Salmonidae
Description: lncRNA (ENSSSAG00000110075.1)
Source: RNAcentral
AUCAAAAGUAACAGUCAGUAUCUGGUGUGGCCACCAGCUGCAUUAAGUACUGCAGUGCAUCUCCUCCUCAUGGACUGCACCAGAUUUGUCAGUUCUUGCUGUGAGAUGUUACCCCACUCUUCCACCAAGGCACCUGCAACUUCCCAGACAUUUCUGGGGGGAAUGGCCCUAGCCCUCACCCUCCGAUCCAACAGGUCCCAGAUGUGCUCAAUGGGAUUGAGAUCCGGGCUCUUCGCUGGCCAUGGCAGAACACUGACAUUUCUGUCUUGCAGGAAAUCACACACAGAACGGACAGUAUGGCUGGUGGUAUUGUCAUGCUGGAGGGUCAUGUCAGGAUGAGCCUGUAGGAAGGGUACCACAUGAGGGAGGAGGAUCUCCUCCCUGUAACGCACAGCGUUGAGAUUGCCUGCAUGACAACAAGCUCAGUUCGAUGAUGCUGACACACCGCCCCAGACCAUGACGGACCCUCCACCUCCAAAUCGAUCCCGCUCCAGAGUACAGGGCUUGGUGUAAUGCUCAUUCCUUUGACGAUAAACGCAAAUCCGACUAUCACCCCUGGUGAGACAAAACCGCGACUCGUCAGUGAAGAGCAUUUUUUUCCAGUCCUGUCUGAUCCAGCGACGGUGGGUUUGUGCCCAUAGGCGACGUUGUUGCCGGUGAUGUCUGGUGAGGACCUGCCUUACAACAGGCCUACAAGCCCUCAGUCCAGCCUCUCUCAGCCUAUUUGCUGACAAUCUGAGCACUGAUGGAGGGAUUGCGCGUUCCUGGUGUAACUCGGGCAGUUGUUGUUGCCUUCCUGUACCUGUCCCGCAGGUGUGAUGUUCGGAUGUUCCGAUCAUGUCCAGGUGUUGUUACACAUGGUCUGCCACUGCGAGGAAGGUCAGCUGUCCGUCCUGUCUCCCUGUAGCGCUGUCUUAGGCGUCUCACAGUACGGACAUUGCAAUUUAUUGCCCUGGCCACAUUUGCAGUCCUCAUGCCUCCUUGCAGCAUGCCUAAGGCACGUUCAUGCAGAUGAGUAGGGACCCUGGGCAUCUUUCUUUUGGUGUUUUUCAGAGUCAGUAGAAAGGCCUCUUAAGUGUCCUAAGUUUUCAUAACUGUGACCUUAAUUGCCUGCCGUCUGUAAGCUGUUAGUGUCUUAACCACCGUUCCACAGGUACAUGUUCAUUAAUUGUUUAUGGUUCAUUGAACAAGCAUGGGAAACAGUGUUUAAACCCUUUACAAUGAAGAUCUGUGAAGUUAUUUUGAUUUUUACAGAUUCUUUGAAAGACAGGGUCCUGAAAAGGGAUGUUUCUUUUUUUGAGUUUAUGUUCCAAAGUUGUCUCUAAGUACGCAUGUACAGCUCAGUGACAAUACAGAAAAGGGAAUGGGUAGUUGUUGGUUUUAAUUAGACUAAUUGUGAAUAAGAGAAAUCUGUUAAUGAUAAUGAUGUGAAUGAUAAAACAAAUCAUGGCGAUUAGAGGAAUGUCAAAUGUUGCCUGACUGGAGUCAUAGACUCCAUAAGGUUCUUUAUUUAACUCUGUAGCCCUUUACACUUGUAACCGGAUACGGGUUGAAAAUGGCAGAUUUGGACACUGAUAAAUGCCUACAUCAGAACGCAGUAGUUGUAUAGUAAAAAAAAAGUUGAUAUUCUUUACCUUUAUCUAACUAUGCAAGCCAGUUAAGAGCAAAUUCUUAUUUUACAAUGACGGCCUACCCUGGCCAAACCCUACCCGGACGACGCUGGGCCAAUUGUGCACCGCCCUAUAGGACUCCCAAUCACAGCUGGUUGUGAUACAGCCCGGGAUAAAACCAGGGUCUGUAGUGACACCUCUAGCACUGAGAUGCAGUAACUUAGACUGCUGCACCACUCGGGAGCCCAUGCAAUACAUGACAUCAGAGCUCAGUGGCUGUACAGUAACAUGCUAUAAUGACAUCAGAGCUCAGUGGCUGUACAGUAACAUUCUAUAAUGACAUCAGAGCUCAGUGGCUGUACAGUAACAUGCUAUAAUGACAUCAGAGCUCAGUGGCUGUACAGUAACAUGCUAUUCAUGAGUUCAGAGUUCAGUGGCUGCACAGUAACAUGCUAUAAUGACGUCAGAGCUCAGUGGCUGUACAGUAACAUGCUAUAAUGACAUCAGAGCUCAGUGGCUGUACAGUAACAUGCUAUUCAUGAGUUCAGAGCUCAGUGGCUGUACAGUAACAUGCUAUUCAUGAGUUCAGAGCUCAGUGGCUGUUCAGUAACAUGCUAUAAUGACGUCAAAGCUCAGUGGCUGUACAGUGUCAUGACGUUGGCCUGUGGGUAAGGUUUAUGACCCCCCCCCCAUAAAUACCUUUCUCCCUUCCCCUCUCUGACCGUACUGAAGGACUUGAAUAGCCUGUGUUAAAUAUAGAGAGUCUGGGAACAUCAAACAAAUGGGGAAAGGAACCAUAUUUUGGUAAUAAAACCAGUUGGAAAUAUGCUUUGGAACGUAAUGAGUAUGGAUGUCAGUUCGUUGUUAUCUGAAACAUUAUGAUUGAUGACAGGACGACAUAAACUGUACCUGAGAAAGUAUACACCCUCUAGUUAUCAGAGUAACAUGGAAUUGUUAUGCAAUUGAAAUGUUUGAUAUUGAAAUUGUUUGUUAGGAGAUGAAAUGUAAUUUUAGCUUCCAAAUGAGAGAUUUGGGUUUUCAUAAGGAAAGUGCCCUGCUUGAUCAGUGGCCCACCCCUGUGAAGAGGAGGGGUUAUAAACGAUGAAACACAUCCUUCCCCCCUCUCCACUAUAUAAGCCUUUGACGAAAAGAUAACCGUGUGGUUCCAGUACGGGAGGUCUGCAGCCUCUACGUUAGAAGGACACACAUGUCAAGUACAGAACUAAGCCAACCUCGGCAUGAGCUUUGGUGGCGAAUGGUAUGAACUUUGAGCUUAUUCACUACAGAAGUGAUACUUCCUAGCCGUUGAGUUAGCAGCGGCCGCUGUAGACGUGGGCUAGGAAAGGACGGACGACGGAUCCAGUCUAACAAACAGACGAAGAUACCACCACGUAUCCAAUUGACCACCAUUGACAUUCUUCCGAAAACAGGAAGAUCUGUUGGUCAACCCGGCCAGCAUCUACGACC